UGGGGAAUUUUGCACAAUGGGGGAAACCCUGAUGCAGCGACGCCGCGUGAUUUAGAAGGCCUUCGGGUUGUAAAAAUCUUUUCUAUGGGAAGAAAAUGACAGUACCAUAGGAAUAAGGACCGGCUAAUUACGUGCCAGCAGCCGCGGUAAUACGUAGGUGGCAAGCGUUGUCCGGAUUUAUUGGGCGUAAAGCGAGCGCAGGCGGUCAAUUAAGUCUGAUGUGAAAGCCCCCGGCUCAACCGGGGAGGGUCAUUGGAAACUGGUUGACUUGAGUGCAGAAGAGGAGAGUGGAAUUCCAUGUGUAGCGGUGAAAUGCGUAGAUAUAUGGAGGAACACCAGUGGCGAAGGCGACUCUCUGGUCUGUAACUGACGCUGAGGCUCGAAAGCGUGGGUAGCAAACAGG
Molecule: ribosomal RNA, 403 nt
Filed under: Bacteroidota bacterium
Lineage: Bacteria; Pseudomonadati; Bacteroidota
Description: Bacteroidetes bacterium partial 16S ribosomal RNA
Rfam family: Bacterial small subunit ribosomal RNA
Source: RNAcentral